CAGCAGCCACGGUAAUACGUAGGGUGCGAGCGUUAAUCGGAAUUACUGGGCGUAAAGCGUGCGCAGGCGGUUGUGUAAGACAGGUGUGAAAUCCCCGGGCUUAACCUGGGAACUGCGCUUGUGACUGCACAGCUAGAGUAUGGCAGAGGGGGGUGGAAUUCCACGUGUAGCAGUGAAAUGCGUAGAGAUGUGGAGGAACACCGAUGGCGAAGGCAGCCCCCUGGGCCAAUACUGACGCUCAUGCACGAAAGCGUGGGGAGCAAACAGGAUUAGAUACCCGCGUAGUCCCUGUCUCUUAUAC
This 301-nucleotide ribosomal RNA is filed under the name uncultured bacterium. RNAcentral's name for it is "partial 16S ribosomal RNA". It matches the Rfam family "Bacterial small subunit ribosomal RNA", at positions 509 to 807 of the family's 1533-position model. The record is from RNAcentral.